GUGGUUACUAGUUAAUGAGAACCUUCAAAAGAAAACAGGGUUAAAUUGACAAAGACUGUAAAAAAAAAAUAACUUUUUUUUCCCCUUUUUAAUCCUUUUUGCAAAACAAACUGGCGUUUCCCCUAUUUUCCCAACUUAUUUUACAGAAGUUAGCUGUCUCAGAAUGAGCAUGUGCAGACAGGCAAGAAGACAGAGUUUGGUAUAAAUAUACCCACCCUGUCAAAUUUUCAUUCUCAGGUGGUCAGCACAGGCACAUUAGUGCAGAAAAAGGGUAAAUCCUACUUUAGCCAGAGUUUGUUACAGGGCAGUAAGUAUUUAUCACUCAUCCCUUUAAGCUCGCUUUCCCAAUAAUGCAAAUGCAGGGCUACCUACGAACUUUGUGUUGCCUGUUGCACAUUUCUAUGAAAAACUGUGCUCUUGAUGCACAUGUAUAUCCUUUUCUUUCUUCUUCUUGAAAAAUCUAUCUAGACUUGGAGGGCUGUUACAGCAUAAGGAUUUGAUAUUUCUGGACUGUGCUCAACUUGGUAGAGGCACCAGGAGCUCCAAGGAUCCUCCUGAUCCUACAGAGAGCCCAGGGGAAGGCAACUGAGGGUAAGAGAAGUUAUGGUGGCAAAACACAGGAAGGGAAGACAACACAGCAUGCCACUUUUCAGUGGGAUGUUUAAUUGUAAGUUACAGGAUUGCACUCUCCUGCUACAUAUAAUGAAUGCUAUGUGUUCGUGUAGGAGUUUGAGUCAAACCUAA
This 744-nucleotide long non-coding RNA is filed under the name Anas platyrhynchos platyrhynchos (common mallard). RNAcentral's name for it is "lncRNA (ENSAPLG00000019432.1)". Lineage: Eukaryota; Metazoa; Chordata; Aves; Anseriformes; Anatidae. The record is from RNAcentral.